GGAGGUCCUUACAGUGGCAGCUUUGAGAAUCAGAACCGGAGUUCACCUCAGGCAUUGCUAGGCAAUGGGCAGUCACAGGCGCUCCCUGACGUCACUACACGGCGCCACUCAGCGUCCGCGGCUGUUUCACGGUCGGAUGUGUACACGGUUUGGCGGGCUUCUCUCCUAUAUGGGACUGUGACUCCAAAUAUUCCUCCAUAGGCGUAAACCAGUUUACACCAUCUGAGGACCCUAUGUCUCAGUUUUAUCGGGAUGCCGGCAGUCAUGUGAUCGACACCGGAAUUCUGACACCACUCGGAAUCCCGGCACAGGAACACCAACUGCAGACAUACCAAAGGGAAGAACUGGAACAACUGAGCAGGCCGGGGACAGAAUCACUGCAAGGAUAGAGGGAGAGCGAAAGUGAGAGGAGAAGAGGGCGGAAUGCAGUCAUUAUUAUGUGCGCAACAUCAACAUAAGCAGCUCACAAAUACCAGAUAUUUACUAAGGAGGCUUGGAAAGAGGUUGCAAUACGGCUAAAAUAAGAUGUACAUAACUGAGAGCCACAAAGGAGGACAGUAACGGAUCAAUUAGACGUGGCCGCAAUUGUUUUAUCAGAGGAUCUGAGCUGGAAAAGAUGGUGAUACAUAAGUCUUUCCCUCCCACCCAAUUAGAACUGCAGUACAAGAAGUUUAAUUAAAAUGGAAACGAUGCAAUGCUAUUCUGGGAC
This is a long non-coding RNA of Pseudophryne corroboree (corroboree frog), 709 nucleotides long. RefSeq lists it as uncharacterized. Lineage: Eukaryota; Metazoa; Chordata; Amphibia; Anura; Myobatrachidae. The transcript has 4 exons. The record is from RefSeq and is a predicted model, not a curated record.